ACUCAAAGGAAUAGACGGGGACCCGCACAACCAGUGGAGCAUGUGGUUUAAUUCGAGACAAAGCGAAAGACCUCACCAGGGUUUGAAAUGUUAAUGCUAACCCUAUGAAAGUAGGGCUUCUUCGAGAGUUUAACACAGCUGCUGCAUGGCUGUCGUCAGCUCGUGCCGUGAGGUAUUGGCUUAAGUGCCAAAACGAGCGCAACCCCUAUCCAAUGUUAGAUAUUCAUUGGGGACUGCAGUCAAUUAUUUGACUGAGGAAGGAAGGGACGACGUCAAGUCAGCACGGCGUUUAUAUCCUGGGCAACACACAUCCUACAAUGGCGAAUAACAACGAGUUUGCCAACUCGCGAGAGUGAGCUAAUCUCUGAAAUUUCGCCUCAGUUGGAAUUGGAGUCUGCAACUCGACUCCAUGAACGCGGAAUUGGUAGUAAUCGCGGAUCAGCAGGUCGCGGUGAAUACGUUCUCGGGUCUUGUACACACCGCCCGU
This 487-nucleotide ribosomal RNA is filed under the name uncultured bacterium. RNAcentral's name for it is "partial 16S ribosomal RNA". It matches the Rfam family "Bacterial small subunit ribosomal RNA", at positions 899 to 1397 of the family's 1533-position model. The record is from RNAcentral.